Molecule: long non-coding RNA, 2190 nt
Organism: Arabidopsis lyrata subsp. lyrata
Lineage: Eukaryota; Viridiplantae; Streptophyta; Magnoliopsida; Brassicales; Brassicaceae
Exons: 4
Source: RefSeq, a predicted model, not a curated record
GUGUAUAGCCAAAGCAAAUAAUAAACUUAUUUUCUCUCAAUGAUAAAACAUAAAAAAAAAAAAACCCCAAAUCGAAAACCUCUGUCUCUUCAACUCCGACUCCACCACCGUAAAGCUCUUCGCCGACCUCAUUUCAUGUCCAUUCCAUCCUUAUCCUUCAUCCUCCAGCUUGGUUCACAUGGUCGAUUCCUCCGAUACAGAUAACACCAAUCGGGACACGGAUCUAGAUCGAGAUCGAGAGGCCACCAAGUUUGUUUCUGAAUCGUCACGAGGUUUGUUUCAUGGUGAGCUAGAGGUCUUCGCUUCUCAGUGUUUGGGAAUAAUGUUCCUGGAGAGAAGAAGUAUGGUGGUUUCUUUUUCUUUUUCUUCUCUUGCUUCUUCUCUGGCCACAAACUACUCUUUCAUGGUUCUGAAUUCUUACCUCUUGAUAUUGAGAAAAAUCGUAAGCUUACUUUGUCUUAGUUUUGGUAUAUGUGUAAAAAGGCUACUGCCAUGGCUAUUAACCGGAUUUUGAAUCAAACACAGCUUACAUGAAAAAUCAUAUGUUGGUUUCAUCGGAAAUGAGGAUUGUUGUUGUUUUGCCUUUGUUAUAGGGUGAAUGAAUCUUUUGACGCUAGAGAAAUGGAGUAUGUGCGGUUAGUAUCCUCUGUUUGUUGGAUAUAUAUGGUGAGAUCACAUUUGUUUUGAACUUGUAUUCUUUUGGUAAGUUGUGAAGAAGAGAGAGAUGGAACCUUAGGAGUCUCUAGAAGUGACGCAGUCAAGGCUCUCUCCUACUCCGUUUCUUACUUUGCCUCAGUCAGGUUCGUCGAAUUCUUUCUCGUAGCUUUCAACUUGUUUAUCUUUUAAGAGAAUAAGUUUUCGUUGCCUCAGUCAGGUUUGGUUUUAUCUCUUAACUUCAGAUGGUCCAUUGAGCUAUAAGUUUUCGUUGCAUCAGUCAGGUUUGGUUUGAUUGUACACCCCUAGAUCUAUUGGGUUAUAUCAAUUUCUAUCACUCUUUGUCGCUUUAGAUCUUAUCCCCAAAUUCUUCUUCUUCUUAAAAGCUUUUGGGUUAGAUUUUGUUAGGUUUUGAUUGAUUUGGGUUGGAUUUAUUUCUUAGAAGCUUUUGACCGGAGUGGAGUGGUGUAUGUUCUGAUGAACCUUUUCAUGCCCUUAAGGUGUUCGACGAAUUGCCUCAUUAUUGGCUGGCUUGUUUCUUAAUUGUUUUGUGUUGAUUUUGGUUUUGUGGUGUUGCUCUUGAACCUUUCAGGUGCUUACGAUUCUUGUCACUAACCUAUAGAAGAGUAGAGUAGAGUUCUGGUUUAUCUUUGAUGGGGUUUUGUUUCUUACCGUAAGUGAAGAUGUUUCCAACUAGAUCUUACUUUUGCAUCUUUGGGAUGGGUGUUUUUCCCCAGUCUAGAAAUAAGUAAUUUUCUGCUUAAGUUUUUGUUGGAUUUCUUAUCUCUUUUCCUUAAUUUAUGAAAGGUUGUGACUUUAGCAGUUUGAUUAAACAUAUCUAAAUGGGUAUUGAUUUGUUGAUAGUUUAGAGAAAAGUCUUUGACUUUUAGCAGUUUCAUUGAACAAGUCUAUAUGUAACUGAGUUUUAUUACAAUUCAUGAUUGGAUUUCUGAUUUUGUUGAAAGAAAGUAAUGAGUUUUAAACUUAAUUUGGUGCUUGUAGCUCUUCUGUGAAGAAAUACUCAUUGGAUGCUCCUCUACGUCAACCUCUUUUAAGUUAUCUCUCCUCAAGCACAAAGCUUUUACUCUAGAGGUUGGUUUGUGAUUCAUGUAUUUUUGUGAGGCUUCUAUGAACAGAUUUCUGAGGUCAUGGAGUUUAGAUGUUUCAUAUUUGUUAUGAGGAGUGCACUUAUAGUUGUCUCUGCAUUCAGAUAAUUGUGUUCACCAAAAACCCCAAUCGAAGGGAAGAUGAAAAUUAAGAAUUUGCAAAGUCUACGGGUAUCAAGAGCUUUGUAAGGAACUACUCUCGGAACAACUGUGUACUUGAGUUCGUGAACGUUUAUGAGCCAACCAUUUGGAUGUAUCUAGGAAAGCUACGAUUUUUCUACCACAGUCGGCUUUGAAAUCUAUAUUUUCUGUUAUUAGUAAUGUAAGUUAGUAUAAGAAUUGGUAUAAUAUUAUGUAUUACUUGUUUUGGGUAAUGUAAUAUUGUUAUUGUUUAUGUUGAUGAUUUAUGGAAUAUAAAUUUAUUGAUAAA